This 72-nucleotide microRNA precursor is filed under the name Chlorocebus sabaeus (green monkey). RNAcentral's name for it is "miRNA (ENSCSAG00000022522.1)". Lineage: Eukaryota; Metazoa; Chordata; Mammalia; Primates; Cercopithecidae. The record is from RNAcentral.
ACUGUGCAUAAGGCCUAGCAAAUGUGCAUGGACCAUGGAGAGGUCUCAUGUCUUCUGGCUUGAUGCACAUUU